RNAcentral lists this ribosomal RNA (511 nucleotides) under uncultured bacterium. RNAcentral's name for it is "partial 16S ribosomal RNA". It matches the Rfam family "Bacterial small subunit ribosomal RNA", at positions 28 to 523 of the family's 1533-position model. The record is from RNAcentral.
GACGAACGCUGGCGGCGUGCCUAAUACAUGCAAGUCGAGCGAAUCAAUGGGAGCUUGCUCCCUGGGAUUAGCGGCGGACGGGUGAGUAACACGUGGGUAACCUGCCUGUAAGACUGGGAUAACUUCGGGAAACCGGAGCUAAUACCGGAUACGUUCUUUUCUCGCAUGAGAAGAGAUGGAAAGAUGGUUCUGCUAUCACUUACAGAUGGACCCGCGGCGCAUUAGCUAGUUGGUGAGGUAACGGCUCACCAAGGCGACGAUGCGUAGCCGACCUGAGAGGGUGAUCGGCCACACUGGGACUGGGACGCGGCCCAGACUCCUACGGGAGGCAGCAGUAGGGAAUCUUCCGCAAUGGACGAGAGUCUGACGGAGCAACGCCGCGUGAGCGAAGAAGGCCUUCGGGUCGUAAAGCUCUGUUGUUAGGGAAGAACAAGUACGAGAGUAACUGCUCGUACCUUGACGGUACCUAACCAGAAAGCCACGGCUAACUACGUGCCAGCAGCCGCCGUAA